RNAcentral lists this ribosomal RNA (468 nucleotides) under uncultured bacterium. RNAcentral's name for it is "partial 16S ribosomal RNA". It matches the Rfam family "Bacterial small subunit ribosomal RNA", at positions 28 to 507 of the family's 1533-position model. The record is from RNAcentral.
GACGAACGCUGGCGGCGUGCUUAACACAUGCAAGUCGAACGGAGAGGCCCUGCUCUUGUGGGGUGCUCGAGUGGCGAACGGGUGAGUAACACGUGAGUAACCUGCCCUUGACUUUGGGAUAACUUCAGGAAACUGGGGCUAAUACCGGAUAGGAGCUCCUGCUGCAUGGUGGGGGUUGGAAAGUUUCGGCGGUUGGGGAUGGACUCGCGGCUUAUCAGCUUGUUGGUGGGGUAGUGGCUUACAAAGCCUUUGACGGGUAGCCGGCCUGAGAGGGUGAACGGCCACAUUGGGACUGAGAUACGGCCCAGACUCCUACGGGCGGCAGCAGUGGGGAGUAUUGCACAAUGGGCGGAAGCCUGAUGCAGCAACGCCGCGUGCGGGAUGACGGGCUUCGGGUUGUAAACCGCUUUCGCCUGUGACGAAGCGUGAGUGACGGUAAUGGGUAAAGAAGCACCGGCUAACUACGUG